CGCCUUGCCAGCCCGCUCAGAAACUCAAAGGAAUUGACGGGGCCCGCACAAGCGGAGGAGCAUGUGGUUUAAUUCGAUGAUACGCGAGGAACCUUACCUGGGCUCGAACGUAAGAUGACUGUAGGUGAAAGCUUACAUCUCUUCGGAGCAUUUUACGAGGUGCUGCAUGGUUGUCGUCAGCUCGUGCCGUGAGGUGUCGGGUUAAGUCCCAUAACGAGCGCAACCCCUACCUUUAGUUGCCAUCAGGUUAAGCUGGGGACUCUAAAGGAACUGCCUACGCAAGUAGUGAGGAAGGCGGGGAUGACGUCAAAUCAGCACGGCCCUUACGUCCAGGGCUACACACGUGCUACAAUGGCCGAUACAGAGGGCAGCUACCUGGUGACAGGAUGCAAAUCCCCAAAGUCGGUCUCAGUUCGGAUCGGAGUCUGCAACCCGACUCCGUGAAGUUGGAUUCGCUAGUAAUCGCGCAUCAGCCAUGGCGCGGUGAAUACGUUCCCGGGCCUU
Molecule: ribosomal RNA, 504 nt
Filed under: uncultured Sphingobacteriales bacterium
Lineage: Bacteria; Pseudomonadati; Bacteroidota; Sphingobacteriia; Sphingobacteriales
Description: bacterial SSU rRNA
Rfam family: Bacterial small subunit ribosomal RNA
Source: RNAcentral